CAGUAGCCGCGGGAAUACGAAGGGGGCUAGCGUUGCUCGGAAUCACUGGGCGUAAAGGGUGCGUAGGCGGGUCUUUAAGUCAGGGGUGAAAUCCUGGAGCUCAACUCCAGAACUGCCUUUGAUACUGAAGAUCUUGAGUUCGGGAGAGGUGAGUGGAACUGCGAGUGUAGAGGUGAAAUUCGUAGAUAUUCGCAAGAACACCAGUGGCGAAGGCGGCUCACUGGCCCGAUACUGACGCUGAGGCACGAAAGCGUGGGGAGCAAACAGGAUUAGAUACCCCGGUAGUCCCUGUCUCUUAUAC
RNAcentral lists this ribosomal RNA (301 nucleotides) under uncultured bacterium. RNAcentral's name for it is "partial 16S ribosomal RNA". It matches the Rfam family "Bacterial small subunit ribosomal RNA", at positions 509 to 807 of the family's 1533-position model. The record is from RNAcentral.